GAGUCAACGAGCGGAGUAGGUAUUAGCACAUUAACUAACCCGAAAGGCCAUUAUCGAUGCUUGGAGUAGCAGUCGGUAAAUUCGACACUGGCCUACUCGCGCGCGGUAUUCCCUCUCGCGGAAUAACAUGCCCCGGCACGAGUGAUACGACGAGUCUUGUGGCCGAGCAGAAGUCAUCUUAUUUACUCCGCUUCGCCGCGCGACGACUGUCCUACGCGAAAGCGCCGGGAGAUAAAUUCAAGGUGACUACGUGAGUCAAAAUACGAUUCGCCGCCGUGCCUGCCGAACGUAUCUUUAUCGUAAGCGUAUUUAUUUAUACGUAAAUGAGUAUCGGAUAUGUCGUAUUUAGCGAUGGGAGAGCAUCAGCCAGGUAGUUAAUCUGUUUAUCAGAUACAGUGGUUUUUUUGUUCCUCGACGUUGUUCUCGCGAUCAGCACGUAUACGCCGCGCACUACCGUAAUACCGCUGCCCGCGUGUUCAACGUGAAGUUGCCGACACUUUGAAUUUACCGUAUGUGAAGCUGGUCGAGCGUCCAUUGUUGCAUCGCGGAAGCUGGCACGGAAGCAUUCGUAUCGUCGUGUUCCGCGUUCUUUACUCGUUUCGAGGGCGUGUUUCGUACGUCGAACGUCGAGAGUGCCGUAGAAAGUAACGACCGAUCGUCGUGUCGCUUUAAUUAGCGUGAUCGGCGCGUAGAUCGGCCGUGUUUUCGCGAUCUCGACGUGCCCUUCGUGCGAAUCUAAAAUUUCCCGAGCAGCCAGGAAGAGACAAAAUGGCCAUGUUACGACCAUCAUAGUCAACGAAGCAGACCACUUUAUGCCCAUAUCUGGCAGAGUUUGCGAUGCCGCACGCGAUACCGCGAGACGCAGUUCCGGCGGACGCAGAUGACGCAAGAACGGUGGAUCCGGUUUAAGCGGAGGCUCGAAGAUCUGGGAGCAGCCGAACAUGGCCGGUCUUCAGCCCCGGAGUAUUCGGAUGGAUCAGAGCGACCAGGGCAAAGAAAAUACUGAAAAAUACAAUGGUUUUGGUCUUCCCUGCGUCUUUUUCAAGAAAAAAGCGUGUUAUCAAAUAUCUCGAAUGCAUUGAAAUGUUGGAGCCUCUUUUCUGCGAUGCUGGGAUUGAAUUCCGUGCAGGUUUACCGACAAUAACCGGUUUGGACUCGCCGUACAAUCUAGGAAGCUUCCACUGACACUUGCCGGUGAAUCCGCCCCAUUCUGCAACAAAUUAGAUAAUGGA
Long non-coding RNA from Dinoponera quadriceps, 1232 nucleotides. RefSeq lists it as uncharacterized. The record is from RefSeq and is a predicted model, not a curated record. The transcript is spliced from 6 exons. NCBI's taxonomy places the organism in Eukaryota, Metazoa, Arthropoda, Insecta, Hymenoptera, Formicidae.